Molecule: ribosomal RNA, 161 nt
Filed under: uncultured bacterium
Lineage: Bacteria
Description: partial 16S ribosomal RNA
Rfam family: Bacterial small subunit ribosomal RNA
Source: RNAcentral
UACGGAGGGUGCAAGCGUUAAUCGGAAUUACUGGGCGUAAAGCGCGCGUAGGUGGUUUGAUAAGCGAGAUGUGAAAGCCCCCGGGGCUUAACCUCGGGGAACGGCAUUUCGAACUGUCAGGCUAGAGUAUGGGUAGAGGAGUGUGGAAUUUCCUGUGUAGC